This 200-nucleotide non-coding RNA is filed under the name Anaerobacillus arseniciselenatis. Lineage: Bacteria; Bacillati; Bacillota; Bacilli; Caryophanales; Bacillaceae. The record is from RNAcentral.
GAGAUAUAUGAAAUUGUAGGUGUCUAUUUUUAGUAGACUUAAUAGGGAAUCUGGUGAAAAUCCAGAACUGUCCCCGCAACUGUAAGUGUAGAUGAAAUGAGAAUAUCCACUGUAUAAGUAGCUUAAAAGGUGCUUAUAUGGGAAGGCUCAGAGUAAGAUGAUGCACAAGUCAGGAGACCUGCCUCAAAUUUCGAAAAGUU